Molecule: ribosomal RNA, 494 nt
Filed under: uncultured bacterium
Lineage: Bacteria
Description: partial 16S ribosomal RNA
Rfam family: Bacterial small subunit ribosomal RNA
Source: RNAcentral
GACGAACGCUGGCGGCGUGCCUAAUACAUGCAAGUCGAACGAAAAGGCCGGGCUUUUGUUCCCUGGACGAGUGGCGAACGGGUGAGUAACACGUGAGUAACCUGCCCUUUAGCGUGGGAUAACUAUUGGAAACUAUGGCUAAUACCGCAUAAGAGCUCCUGCUGCAUGAUGUUUGCUUGAAAGGUUCGGUUGUUUCGGUACUAGUUGGUGCUUCGCAGUAUUAGCUAGUUGUUGUGGUAAUGGCUGACUAAGACGGCGAUGCGUAGUCGACGAGAGAGGGUGAUAGGCCACACUGGAGCUGAGACACGGACAAGACUCCUACGGGAGGCAGCAGUAGGGAAUCUUCGGCAGUGGUCGGAAGUCUGACAGAGCAACGCCGCGUGAGUGAUGGAGGUGUUGGGAUCGUAAAGCUCUGUUUUGAGAGAAGAACAGGUGUGGGAGUAGAAGUUGCGCGCUUGACGGUAAUGGGUCAAGAAGCGACGGCUAACUACGUG